GUUUGAUCAUGGCUCAGAUUGAACGCUGGCGGCAGGCUUAACACAUGCAAGUCGAGCGGUAACAGGGGGUGCUUGCACCCUGCUGACGAGCGGCGGACGGGUGAGUAAUGCAUAGGAAACUGCCCAGUAGUGGGGGAUAGCCCGGGGAAACCCGGAUUAAUACCGCAUACGCCCUUUGGGGGAAAGCAGGGGAUCUUCGGACCUUGCGCUAUUGGAUGUGCCUAUGUCGGAUUAGCUAGUUGGUGGGGUAAGAGCCUACCAAGGCGACGAUCCGUAGCUGGUCUGAGAGGAUGAUCAGCCACAUCGGGACUGAGACA
Molecule: ribosomal RNA, 317 nt
Filed under: Chloropicon laureae
Lineage: Eukaryota; Viridiplantae; Chlorophyta; Chloropicophyceae; Chloropicales; Chloropicaceae
Description: partial Bacterial small subunit ribosomal RNA
Rfam family: Bacterial small subunit ribosomal RNA
Source: RNAcentral